UACGUAGGGGGGCUAGCGUUGUCCGGAAUCAUUGGGCGUAAAGAGCGUGUAGGCGGUCCGGUAAGUCCGCUGUGAAAGUCGGGGGCUCAACCCUCGAAUGCCGGUGGAUACUGUCGGGCUAGAGUGCGGAAGAGGCGAGUGGAAUUCCUGGUGUAGCGGUGAAAUGCGCAGAUAUCAGGAGGAACACCAAUGGCGAAGGCAGCUCGCUGGAACGGUACUGACGCUGAGGCGCGAAAGCGUGGGGAGCGAACAGG
Molecule: ribosomal RNA, 254 nt
Filed under: uncultured bacterium
Lineage: Bacteria
Description: partial 16S ribosomal RNA
Rfam family: Bacterial small subunit ribosomal RNA
Source: RNAcentral